GCCAAUAAUAGUCAACUUCUCAACUAAGAAUAAUAUCAUAGUAUUAUUCUCACAUCGAAUUUGAGCUUACAAUUCACUUGAAUAAUUAAUGAUCAAAAUAACCAUAAUGUGCAAUAAAAUUUUUAUGUCAGUCUUUUUGUAAUUACUUUCAAUUAAAAUCUAACUAAUCAUAUUAUGAUCUAUAGAUCAUCCUGUUAGAUGUGUUCCUUAGAUGCC
RNAcentral lists this long non-coding RNA (216 nucleotides) under Elaeis guineensis (African oil palm). Its description in RNAcentral is "long non-coding RNA (EGUI_LNC071767)". The record is from RNAcentral. Lineage: Eukaryota; Viridiplantae; Streptophyta; Magnoliopsida; Arecales; Arecaceae.